GACGAACGCUGGCGGCGUGCUUAACACAUGCAAGUCGAACGGAAAGGCCCUGCUUUUGUGGGGUGCUCGAGUGGCGAACGGGUGAGUAACACGUGAGUAACCUGCCCUUGACUUUGGGAUAACUUCAGGAAACUGGGGCUAAUACCGGAUAGGAGCUCCUGCUGCAUGGUGGGGGUUGGAAAGUUUCGGCGGUUGGGGAUGGACUCGCGGCUUAUCAGCUUGUUGGUGGGGUAGUGGCUUACCAAGGCUUUGACGGGUAGCCGGCCUGAGAGGGUGACCGGCCACAAUGGGACUGAGAUACGGCCCAGACUGCUACGGGAGGCAGCAGUGGGGAAUAUUGCAGAGUGGGCGGAAGCCUGAUGCAGCAACGCCGCGUGCGGGAUGACGGCCUUCGGGUUGUAAACCGCUUUCGCCUGUGACGAAGCGUGCGUGACGGUAAUGGGUAAGGAAGCACCGGCUAACUACGUG
Molecule: ribosomal RNA, 468 nt
Filed under: uncultured bacterium
Lineage: Bacteria
Description: partial 16S ribosomal RNA
Rfam family: Bacterial small subunit ribosomal RNA
Source: RNAcentral